This 408-nucleotide ribosomal RNA is filed under the name uncultured bacterium. RNAcentral describes it as "partial 16S ribosomal RNA". It matches the Rfam family "Bacterial small subunit ribosomal RNA", at positions 29 to 526 of the family's 1533-position model. The record is from RNAcentral.
AGUGAACGCUGGCGGCGUGCCUAAUACAUGCAAGUCGAACGACGGGGGACACGGGUGAGAUAUCUAGAGUUAUUCUGCGCAACACAGAGGAACAACAGUUGGAAACCGCUGAUAAUACAUCAUAGUGGAGGAGGAGAUGUAAGCGUAUCAGUUAGUUGGUAAGGCAAUGGCUUACCAAGGCUAUGACUAGUAACUGUUCUGAGAGGAUGAUCAGUCACAUUUGAACUGAGACACUGUCCAAACACCUACGGGAGGCAGCAGUACGGAAUAUUGCGCAAUGGGGGAGUCCCUGACGGAGCAUCGCCGCGUGGAGGAUGACACUUUUCGGGGCGUAAACUCCUUUUAUCAGGAAAGCGGUACCUGAUGAAUAAGCACCGGCUAACUCCGUGCCAGCAGCCGCGGUAAUUC